UCUAGGUCAGAUUGAUUUAAAGUUUGGUCAUGAGCUAUUCACAGUCACUAUGAACCUAUCUGAUGGAAGUCGUUGUCAGAAUUGCAACAGUAAUAUAUAUCAGGGUCAAAGAUUUUGUGACAAUUGUGGACUCAGAAUUAAUCAUAGACUUGCUAUAGGAACAUUAUGCACAGGAAAAACAGAUGGCAUUCCUUGUUAUAAUGUACUUAACUCAAGAAUCAAAUUUUGCAGCAGUUGAGGUACAGAAAAUGAUUCAUAUUUACCAGAUUCAACUACGGGGAAGAGCAUCGAUAGAGAUAACAGUUUACUUAGUAAGCCAGCUUCGGACGACGAAGACAAAUGGGAAGCACAUGAUAUAGAUUUAAAUAUUGCAGAUGAUUCUACAAGCAAACAUGACCUAACAUCAAAUACCCUUUUACACCAGGAAGAGGACGUCUAUCAAGAAGACAGAUGGGAACCACAGAAUAUUUCAUAUGUCACAAUAAUGUCGAAGAAAACAAACAACACCACGACUAGAAGAAAAACAAUCCACGAAACACCAAAGUAAAUAAAACGACAUGACCACAAUCGGCGAUAUACACAAGUGCCCCAGUAAGGUUAGAAAGUCCUCCAAUUAAGGCACCAGUCGUGUUGCUCAUGGUAAGUAAACAUUAACAUACAGGUUAAUCAAAAGAAAGCGACCGAUGGAAUGUAUCGGUAAUCAUCUAUGUCAGAGAUAUUCUAUGGUUGUCAACCAGAUUAUUGCAUCGCCGCUGUAAAUGUUUCGAAUGGUUUACUAUUUUCAAAUUUACGAUUAGGAACUCUUAAUGAAAUAGAUUCCUUCUAAAAAGAACCCCUUAAUCAUAGAAAUAAUGACAAUAAACGCAAGUCCUGAUAUAUCGUAUAAAGUAGAUAUAUAUAUAUAUCUCAUAUGCGGAUGGUGUUGAAAUGUUCAUUUCUAAAUGUGUGGCUAAACUAGUUUAGCUCGAGCUUCGUCGGAUAGAAAUCGACAUAUCGACCUUACGCAAGUGUACGUAUGCAUGUACAUGUAUAUGACUUUUAUUGAUUUUGGAACAUUCAAAUACGAAAUAAAAGAUGAAUUUUUGGUCUGUUUUGUAUGGUUCUAGUAACAACUCAACUUUUAAAAAGUAACAGACUUUCCGUAGAGAUUUCUUCAAUCCGAAAAAGUUAAACAGAUGUAUUGAUAUUCAUUUGCAUAAGGUCGAUUUCUAUCAGACGCAGCCCAUAUAAUAUUCACAUGAUUGUCUGCUUUUUAAGAAACCUUGCAGUGGUCGAUCUAUGAUAAGUAUGAUUAGAUUGGACUGUUUCAGUCCAUUCGAUCCUCAUGAAUCGAUUGCAGAUGUUUGGUGUCUAUUUGAAAAUUAAACAAUCAGUUUUGGAGCCGUGCGUUAUAGAGCUUUACAUAUUAUGUAGUCUUGACCUUGACCUACCACAUCUUCUUAUUUCUAUACUUGUCCGAUUGUAGUUGAAUCAUGGUCUUACAAUUUAUUGAGAUCACCAUUCAGUGCUUAUUGAAAUUUUUGCAUGUUUGUAACAGCAUUUAGAUGUGAACAAUUGUUUAUGUUAAAACUACAAAUUUACCUUGUAGAUGCAGAGU
Molecule: long non-coding RNA, 1597 nt
Organism: Mytilus californianus (California mussel)
Lineage: Eukaryota; Metazoa; Mollusca; Bivalvia; Mytilida; Mytilidae
Exons: 5
Source: RefSeq, a predicted model, not a curated record